AAAGGAAUUGACGGGGACCCGCACAAGCGGUGGAGCAUGUGGUUUAAUUUCGACGAUACGCGAAGAACCUUACCUGGCCUUGACAUACUAAAAAGCUUUAAGAGAUUAGAGUGUGCUAGCUUGCUAGAAUUUAGAUACAGGUGCUGCACGGCUGUCGUCAGCUCGUGUCGUGAGAUGUUGGGUUAAGUCCCGCAACGAGCGCAACCCUCGUGUUUAGUUGCUAACAGUUCGGCUGAGAACUCUAAACAGACUGCCUACGCAAGUAGGAGGAAGGUGAGGACGACGUCAAGUCAUCAUGGCCCUUACGGCCAGGGCUACACACGUGCUACAAUGGGGUAUACAAAGAGCAGCGAUACGGUGACGUGGAGCAAAUCUAGAAAAUGCCUCUCAGUUCGGAUUGUAGUCUGCAACUCGACUACAUGAAGUUGGAAUCGCUAGUAAUCGUAGAUCAGCAAUGCUACGGUGAAUACGUUCCCGGGUCUU
Molecule: ribosomal RNA, 483 nt
Filed under: uncultured Arcobacter sp.
Lineage: Bacteria; Pseudomonadati; Campylobacterota; Epsilonproteobacteria; Campylobacterales; Arcobacteraceae
Description: bacterial SSU rRNA
Rfam family: Bacterial small subunit ribosomal RNA
Source: RNAcentral